Long non-coding RNA from Gymnodraco acuticeps, 471 nucleotides. RefSeq lists it as uncharacterized. The transcript is spliced from 3 exons. NCBI's taxonomy places the organism in Eukaryota, Metazoa, Chordata, Actinopteri, Perciformes, Bathydraconidae. The record is from RefSeq and is a predicted model, not a curated record.
UAUACAUCCAUGCAUGCGGGUCUGUCAGGUCGAGCCUGGCGUGAGAGAGGAAACAGAACGUUAAACUGUUUUAUGGCCAGAAUAUAUGGUAAAAGACGGACUGCAUAAUUAAGGGAGGAUUACCUGCAGCAGACCGACGGAGACGAGACGACGGAGUGUGUUGAAGAGGCCUAUAUGAACAACUACAAUCCCCGGUUCAGGUGGCGACUGGCGCGCUAACGGAGCUCCAGGAGGGAAAACCUUUGCGACGCUGAGGUUCGGCUGAUUUGCAAAGCUCAAGUCAUGAGAGUGUACUGAGGCACCAUCGACUUCGGCACGGAAGAGGAAAUCACUGGCCCUGUGCCUACACCGACUGUGUCUGCACCUUCAGAACCUAUGGGGCAUUGAGGUCACACCUCACCAGAUCCCACUGCAAGACUGCAUCAAGGCAAGACACCUGCACCUUUUUUUGUGAGCUAUGUGACUUCAGAG